RNAcentral lists this non-coding RNA (103 nucleotides) under unclassified sequences. Its description in RNAcentral is "c-di-GMP sequence". It matches the Rfam family "c-di-GMP-II-GAG riboswitch aptamer". The record is from Rfam by way of RNAcentral.
CGGCACCCGGGACGCAUCGAUCUCUGGACCGCAGCACGGUCGCCAUGGCGGGUCACCCCGCCAGGUCCGGAGGGAGCGAGUGGCGAGACCGACCCGUGACACG